This 430-nucleotide ribosomal RNA is filed under the name uncultured fungus. RNAcentral describes it as "eukaryotic LSU rRNA". It matches the Rfam family "Eukaryotic large subunit ribosomal RNA", at positions 1 to 432 of the family's 3401-position model. The record is from RNAcentral. Lineage: Eukaryota; Fungi.
GACCUCGGAUCAGGUAGGGAUGCCCGCUGAACUUAAGCAUAUCAAUAAGCGGAGGAAAAGAAACCAACAGGGAUUGCCUCAGUAACGGCGAGUGAAGCGGCAACAGCUCAAAUUUGAAAUCUGGCCUUCGGGUCCGAGUUGUAAUUUGCAGAGGAUGCUUCGAGCAUGGUCUAGUCUAAGUUCCUUGGAAUAGGACGUCAUAGAGGGUGAGAAUCCCGUAUGCGACUGGGUGCCUAAGCUCAUGUGAAGCUCCUUCGACGAGUCGAGUUGUUUGGGAAUGCAGCUCAAAAUGGGUGGUAAAUUUCAUCUAAAGCUAAAUAUUGGCCAGAGACCGAUAGCGCACAAGUAGAGUGAUCGAAAGAUGAAAAGCACUUUGGAAAGAGAGUUAAAUAGCACGUGAAAUUGUUGAAAGGGAAGCGCUUGCAAUCAG